RNAcentral lists this unclassified non-coding RNA (229 nucleotides) under Mortierella sp. RNAcentral's name for it is "partial internal transcribed spacer region". The stretch from base 1 to 46 matches the Rfam family "Eukaryotic small subunit ribosomal RNA", at positions 1786 to 1831 of the family's 1831-position model. The record is from RNAcentral. Lineage: Eukaryota; Fungi; Mortierellomycota; Mortierellomycetes; Mortierellales; Mortierellaceae.
AAGUCGUAACAAGGUUUCCGUAGGUGAACCUGCGGAAGGAUCAUUCACAAUGGGUGUUUUAUGGCACCCUUAAAAAUCCAUAUCCACCUUGUGUGAAAUGUAAGAGAGGUCGCUUGCGACUUCUUUUCUUAACAACCCUUCAAAUAAACCAAUUGAUUCUGAAAACACUAUUAUGGAUUACUUAAUUCAAAAUACAACUUUCAACAACGGAUCUCUUGGCUCUCACAUC